AUGGAAACAGCAACUUUGGUCGCCAUCUCCAUAUCUUGUUUACUUGUAAGCUUUACUGGGUAUGCCUUAUAUACCGUGUUUGGGCAACUCUCUCAACAAUUAAGAGAUCCAUUCGAAGAGCACGGAGACUAA
This 132-nucleotide ribosomal RNA is filed under the name Triticum aestivum (bread wheat). RNAcentral describes it as "partial small subunit ribosomal RNA". Lineage: Eukaryota; Viridiplantae; Streptophyta; Magnoliopsida; Poales; Poaceae. The record is from RNAcentral.